RNAcentral lists this ribosomal RNA (330 nucleotides) under uncultured bacterium. RNAcentral describes it as "bacterial SSU rRNA". It matches the Rfam family "Bacterial small subunit ribosomal RNA", at positions 568 to 898 of the family's 1533-position model. The record is from RNAcentral.
CGCGUAGGUGGUAGUGCAAGUCUGGGGUGGAAUCCCAGGGCUUAACCCUGGAACUGCCUUGGAAACUGUAUUACUUGAGUCAGUGAGGGGAGGGUAGAAUUCCUGGUGUAGCGGUGAGAUGCGUAGAUAUCAGGAGGAAGGCCUGUGGCGAAGGCGGCCCUCUGGCGCUGAACUGACACUGAGGCGCGAAAGCGUGGGUAGCAAACAGGAUUAGAUACCCUGGUAGUCCACGCCCUAAACGGUGGGUACUAGGUGUGGGGCUCGUAAGGGUUCUGUGCCGAAGCGAAAGCAUUAAGUACCCCGCCUGGGGAGUACGGCCGCAAGGUUGAA